CAUUUUGGACAUCUUCAGAAUCUUUCAAGCCACCUACAUUCAAGCUGUCGGGCUAAUUCCGAUAAAGACGACGCCAAAUUUAAGAUCCGACGGAGAUUUCACAUUAACGAUAUGGCCAAAGAGAACAACUCCUCCGCUAUGGAUGUGGACAACUAGAAUUCGGAAUCCGAUGAUCAGAUUAAUAGCCCUAGGUUCUCUAUCAAUGUUUUGCAGCUCUUGAAAUCGGCUCAGAUGCAGCAUGGAUUGCGGUUUGGCGAUUACGCUCGUUACCGGAGGUACUGUACUGCUCGGCUCAGGAG
Non-coding RNA from Coffea arabica (coffee), 299 nucleotides. NCBI's taxonomy places the organism in Eukaryota, Viridiplantae, Streptophyta, Magnoliopsida, Gentianales, Rubiaceae. The record is from RefSeq and is a predicted model, not a curated record.